This 602-nucleotide ribosomal RNA is filed under the name uncultured bacterium. RNAcentral describes it as "bacterial SSU rRNA". It matches the Rfam family "Bacterial small subunit ribosomal RNA", at positions 202 to 804 of the family's 1533-position model. The record is from RNAcentral.
UAAAGAUUCAUCGCUGAUAGAUAGGCAUGCGUUCCAUUAGGCAGUUGGCGGGGUAACGGCCCACCAAACCGACGAUGGAUAGGGGUUCUGAGAGGAAGGUCCCCCACAUUGGUACUGAGACACGGACCAAACUCCUACGGGAGGCAGCAGUGAGGAAUAUUGGUCAAUGGGCGUAAGCCUGAACCAGCCAAGUCGCGUGAGGGAUGAAGGUUCUAUGGAUCGUAAACCUCUUUUAUAAGGGAAUAAAGUGCGGGACGUGUCCCGUUUUGUAUGUACCUUAUGAAUAAGGAUCGGCUAACUCCGUGCCAGCAGCCGCGGUAAUACGGAGGAUCCGAGCGUUAUCCGGAUUUAUUGGGUUUAAAGGGUGCGUAGGCGGCCUUUUAAGUCAGCGGUGAAAAUCUGUGGCUCAACCAUAGAAUUGCCGUUGAAACUGGGAGGCUUGAGUAUGUUUGAGGCAGGCGGAAUGCGUGGUGUAGCGGUGAAAUGCUUAGAUAUCACGCAGAACCCCGAUUGCGAAGGCAGCCUGCCAAGCCAUGACUGACGCUGAUGCACGAAAGCGUGGGGAUCAAACAGGAUUAGAUACCCUGGUAGUCCACGCAGUA